UACGUAGGGUGCAAGCGUUGUCCGGAAUUACUGGGCGUAAAGAGUGUGUAGGCGGUGUUCUAAGUCUGGUGUGAAAUCUCCCGGCUCAACUGGGAGGGUGCGCUAGAAACUGGAAUGCUAGAGGAUGGGAGAGGUAAGCGGAAUUCCUGGUGUAGCGGUGAAAUGCGUAGAUAUCAGGAGGAACACCUGUGGUGUAGACAGCUUACUGGACCAUUUCUGACGCUGAGACACGAAAGCGUGGGUAGCAAACAGG
RNAcentral lists this ribosomal RNA (253 nucleotides) under uncultured bacterium. RNAcentral's name for it is "partial 16S ribosomal RNA". It matches the Rfam family "Bacterial small subunit ribosomal RNA", at positions 524 to 776 of the family's 1533-position model. The record is from RNAcentral.